CGUCUGGAAAGGCGCGCGAUACAGGGUGACAGCCCCGUACACAAAAAUGCACAUGCUGUGAGCUCGAUGAGUAGGGCGGGACACGUGGUAUCCUGUCUGAAUAUGGGGGGACCAUCCUCCAAGGCUAAAUACUCCUGACUGACCGAUAGUGAACCAGUACCGUGAGGGAAAGGCGAAAAGAACCCCGGCGAGGGGAGUGAAAAAGAACCUGAAACCGUGUACGUACAAGCAGUGGGAGCCUCUUUUAUGGGGUGACUGCGUACCUUUUGUAUAAUGGGUCAGCGACUUAUAUUCUGUAGCAAGGUUAACCGAAUAGGGGAGCCGAAGGGAAACCGAGUCUUAACUGGGCGUUAAGUUGCAGGGUAUAGACCCGAAACCCGGUGAUCUAGCCAUGGGCAGGUUGAAGGUUGGGUAACACUAACUGGAGGACCGAACCGACUAAUGUUGAAAAAUUAGCGGAUGACUUGUGGCUGGGGGUGAAAGGCCAAUCAAACCGGGAGAUAGCUGGUUCUCCCCGAAAGCUAUUUAGGUAGCGCCUCGUGAAUUCAUCUCCGGGGGUAGAGCACUGUUUCGGCAAGGGGGUCAUCCCGACUUACCAACCCGAUGCAAACUGCGAAUACCGGAGAAUGUUAUCACGGGAGACACACGGCGGGUGCUAACGUCCGUCGUGAAGAGGGAAACAACCCAGACCGCCAGCUAAGGUCCCAAAGUCAUGGUUAAGUGGGAAACGAUGUGGGAAGGCCCAGACAGCCAGGAUGUUGGCUUAGAAGCAGCCAUCAUUUAAAGAAAGCGUAAUAGCUCACUGGUCGAGUCGGCCUGCGCGGAAGAUGUAACGGGGCUAAA
RNAcentral lists this ribosomal RNA (843 nucleotides) under Escherichia coli. RNAcentral's name for it is "partial 23S ribosomal RNA". It matches the Rfam family "Bacterial large subunit ribosomal RNA", at positions 339 to 1185 of the family's 2925-position model. Lineage: Bacteria; Pseudomonadati; Pseudomonadota; Gammaproteobacteria; Enterobacterales; Enterobacteriaceae. The record is from RNAcentral.